Molecule: ribosomal RNA, 253 nt
Filed under: uncultured bacterium
Lineage: Bacteria
Description: partial 16S ribosomal RNA
Rfam family: Bacterial small subunit ribosomal RNA
Source: RNAcentral
UACGAAGGGGGCUAGCGUUGUUCGGAAUUACUGGGCGUAAAGGGCGCGUAGGCGGUGUGUCAAGUCAGGCGUGAAAGCCCCGGGCUCAACCUGGGAACAGCGCUUGAGACUGGCACGCUCGAGUUCGGGAGAGGAUGGUGGAAUUCCCAGUGUAGAGGUGAAAUUCGUAGAUAUUGGGAAGAACACCGAUGGCGAAGGCGGGUCUCUGGGCCGAUACUGACGCUGAGGAGCGAAAGCGUGGGGAGCGAACAGG